CCGCACGUAGCAUAAUUGGAUAAUGCAUCAGAUUCCGAUUCUGACGACUGGGGGUUCAAAUCCCUUCGUGCGGGCCA
This 77-nucleotide transfer RNA is filed under the name Oscillospiraceae bacterium. RNAcentral's name for it is "tRNA-Arg". It matches the Rfam family "tRNA". From Rfam's summary of the family: Transfer RNA (tRNA) molecules are approximately 80 nucleotides in length. Their secondary structure includes four short double-helical elements and three loops (D, anti-codon, and T loops). Further hydrogen bonds mediate the characteristic L-shaped molecular structure. tRNAs have two regions of fundamental functional importance: the anti-codon, which is responsible for specific mRNA codon recognition, and the 3' end, to which the tRNAs corresponding amino acid is attached (by aminoacyl-tRNA synthetases). tRNAs cope with the degeneracy of the genetic code in two manners: having more than one tRNA (with a specific anti-codon) for a particular amino acid; and 'wobble' base-pairing, i.e. permitting non-standard base-pairing at the 3rd anti-codon position. RNAcentral also lists the same sequence under 1 other name. The record is from RNAcentral. Lineage: Bacteria; Bacillati; Bacillota; Clostridia; Eubacteriales; Oscillospiraceae.